UUGUCGCAGGAGAGACGGCACU
Molecule: microRNA, 22 nt
Filed under: Vitis vinifera (wine grape)
Lineage: Eukaryota; Viridiplantae; Streptophyta; Magnoliopsida; Vitales; Vitaceae
Description: vvi-miR3627-5p
Source: miRBase by way of RNAcentral